UACGGAGGGAGCUAGCGUUGUUCGGAUAUACUGGGCGUAAAGCGCACGUAGGCGGCGCAGCAAGUCAGGGGUGAAAUCCCGGGGCUCAACCCCGGAACUGCCCUUGAAACUGCAGUGCUAGAAUCUUGGAGAGGCGAGUGGAAUUCCGAGUGUAGAGGUGAAAUUCGUAGAUAUUCGGAAGAACACCAGUGGCGAAGGCGACUCGCUGGACAAGUAUUGACGCUGAGGUGCGAAAGCGUGGGGAGCAAACAGG
This 253-nucleotide ribosomal RNA is filed under the name uncultured bacterium. RNAcentral's name for it is "partial 16S ribosomal RNA". It matches the Rfam family "Bacterial small subunit ribosomal RNA", at positions 524 to 776 of the family's 1533-position model. The record is from RNAcentral.